UAAAAGCACCAGCCUAACAACACGAAUCUACAUUCAUUUUCAAUGUUUUACCAUGUUUCAAAAAAUCACAGGACAGAUAUAUAUUUUCAGCACAAGAUAUAAUUCAACCAAAUGCCAUGUGAAUCAUUCCUUUAAAGAGAUGAUUCUAUUUAAGGUAGCACACCAGUCUACUUCUUGCAGAUUUGCGAUGAUCAUAUUGAAAUAGCUAUAACUUUGCUAUUUUAAAAGAUAUUAUAACAUAUGCAGUAUCGUUUUGAAGGAGAUAUAGUCAAGGUGAAGAAGCAUUCAAGAGAAUUUGGUAAAACCACCUGACCUGCAUGUUUCUAAAUGACUAUAUUUGGAAGAAAAUCAAUACCAUUUGUAUAAGAAAAUUAGCGUUGUCAGUUUAAGAGAUACUAAAUGUAUGCUACAAAACCGUGUCUCAAAUUUUAUAUCAGGUCCAGUUAAAAAUUUGAAUAUUUUGGAUCUAUAAGGUUAAUCGAACAAAACAAGAUCCAGCCAUUAUUCUACAAAAAGACAUGAUAUUAGAAAUCUGCGACGCAGUUUUGUAGCUUUUAUCAUGUGCUUAAUUAUGCAAAAUAAUACUACUUGGAUGCUGCAAACCUGAAAGUGUUACUUAGUAAAUAUGAAAAUAGAAAGGUAUGAAAAAUAUUCAAAUUUUCCCCAAUAUCGCACGUUUUUAAUAUUUCCUUAUUCUUCAUAUGAAUAGAUAAAGGCAACAGUAGUAUACCGCUGUCCAAUGAUCAUAAAUCGAUUAAGCGAAAACAAAUUCGGGUUACAAACUAAAACCGAGGGAAACACAUCAACUAUAAGAGGAAAACAACGGAACAACAGAAAUACUGAACUGCAACAAAAACAAACGCCAACAUACAUAGAAACGGACUAUUUGAUAACAACUGCCAUAUUCCUGACUUGGUACAGGACAUUUAAAGACAAAAUGGUAGGUUGAAUCUGGUUUUAUGGCUAGCCAAACCUCCCACUUAUAUGGCAAUGUUAAAAAUACCGCUAAAAUUACAACACUACGUGACAGGAAUACAGUACAAACAAACGCAGGAACACUCAGCACAGAGAAAUACAUAAAUAAAUAAUAUAAUAGUACAUUACAACAUGUAAACCGCAGAAUAACAACGGACACCUUCAAUGAAUUUACGACAGCACACUAGGACACCACAAACGAAGUAUAAACUGCGCGUCACAUGAAUGGAUCAACGCAACAAAAAGUAACGUAUUUUAUGUGACGUUUAUAUUAUCACAGGUAAAUUUCUAAAAAAUGAAAUAGAUUUGUUUUAUUGACACGUUAAAGAAUAUUAAAUUUGGAUUGAGUUUGAAAUGGUGUUAUUUUAUGUAUUUUCAAACCAUGACAAGAAUAUUAAAAUGGAAUUGUGUUUGUAAAAGUGUUAAUAUUUGUAUUUUCUAACCAUAUCGGUUUUUCUUCUAAAACAAAACUGUGUAUGAACAAAAAAAUCCUGUGCAUAUAGCUGCUUUAAAAUUAAAAAUGAUAUAAAUGAAA
Long non-coding RNA from Mytilus californianus (California mussel), 1510 nucleotides. RefSeq lists it as uncharacterized. NCBI's taxonomy places the organism in Eukaryota, Metazoa, Mollusca, Bivalvia, Mytilida, Mytilidae. The record is from RefSeq and is a predicted model, not a curated record. The transcript has 2 exons.